RNAcentral lists this ribosomal RNA (266 nucleotides) under Lecanora saxigena. RNAcentral's name for it is "partial 18S ribosomal RNA". The record is from RNAcentral. Lineage: Eukaryota; Fungi; Ascomycota; Lecanoromycetes; Lecanorales; Lecanoraceae.
UUCACCGAUACGGAAGCCUUGUAAAAGUACCCAAUCUGCUCUCGGAGGCAGGUAACACUCAUCUGUUGCUGGAAGUAAACCUCCUCUGGAGUUAAUCAGCCGCUCUACGCCCCUCACGUAUAGCCCACAGAUCAAACAUGAGUGGCUCUGUUCCGUCGGCUCUCCUCCCCAGAGAGUCGACGCGUUCAGGGUUAAGAUAUGACCGUUGCAACCUCGCGAGAGGAAUGGCACAAAAGUUCCGUAGGUGAACCUGCGGAAGGAUCAUU